CCACUGCCAUUGCACUCCAGCCUGGGCAACAAGAGCAAAACUCAGUUUCAAAAAAAAAAAAAAAUGCUUUCUAGUGAUGAUGAGAAUGCAAGGAAAUAGUUUCUUCUAUGCAAUGUUGGUGAGAACGAAAAUAAGGACAACCUUUUGUGAAGAUAACUUAGUAGUAUCUUAAUACAGACCUUCUGAUUCAUCACUAUCACUUAUAUAACUCUAUCCUACUGAAAUAAUAAGGUAAAUGUGAAAUGAUAUAGGCGCAAAGGUAGUCACUGAAGCACUAUUUGUAAAAGUAAAAACCUAGAAACCUAAAUCCCCAUCAAUAGCAGAAGGAUUGUUUAAAUGAUGUAACUUUCACAUUGAACAUUAUGCAGCCAUGUGUAGACCCACAUAUAUUCACCUGGAAAGAAAUUCAUGACAUAAAGUGGAAAAAAUGCAGAACUCUACUUAUGAAAUCAUUUGGGGAAGGAGAGGAAGUGGAGAAGAUAAGGCAGUUGGGGCAAAAACAACUGUGUAAACAUAGAAAACAAGCCUGUAUGGUUGUGCAAAAUAGUAAUAGUUAUAAGAAUGUGAGGGUUAUUUUAGAAAAAUCCAUGGCUGGGAACUGAGAGUGGAAAAUUCCACAAUGAAGAUAGGUCUAGUGACUGACCGCCCUUUGUGUCUCUGCUGGUGUCUGUGCAUCUACUCUCUUCCAUCUUUUCUGAUCAGUCUCUUCUGCUUAUUCAUUAUUUCUGUUCCAUAUUAUUUGGCUCACACAUGGCCCAGCAUGGAGACUCCUAUCUCUUUGCUAGUCCCUGAAUACAUCAGAAGGUUGACAAAUUUGCAGAGGAAUUUUGUGAAGAACAAAUUGUAUAUACUGAUUUUACUUGGCUUUAUUUUUACCAUUGGAAGAACAAAUAAUUCCAAAACUGGGUGAAAAACCAGGGUAAAGGUAAAAAAAUGAUACAAGGAAAAGUUGACUCUCAGAUAGAAAGAUGACUCAGUUUUUCAAUUAUUUAAAAAUAAUUUAUCAGUUAUCAUAUUCAGAAGAAGCAUAGGACAUUUUGAGGAAAUCAAGUUUAGUAGAUUCAUUUUCUUUAGAUUUAUUUUUAAUUAUAAAAAUUCAAGUUAGGAGCUGUAAAACAUGAACGGAAGACUGGUUUAUUUGGUCGCUGAGGAAGAGAUCAGUCUUACCAUAGGACCCUCAGGGCUGGGCUUCAACAUUGUAGGUGGGACAGAUCAGCAGUAUGUCUCCAACGACAGUGGCAUCUACGUCAGCCGCAUCAAAGAAAAUGGGGCUGCGGCCCUGGAUGGGCGGCUCCAGGAGCGUGAUAAGAUCCUUUCAGUAAAUGGCCAAGACCUAAAGAACCUGCUGUACCAGAAUGCUGUAGACCUCUUUCGUAAUGCAGGUUAUGCUGUGUCUCUGAGAGUGCAGCAUAGGUUACAGGUGCAGAAUGGACCUAUAGGACAUUGAGGUGAAGGGGACCCAAGUGGUAUUCCCAUAUUUAUGGUGCUGGUGCCAGUGUUUGCCCUCACCAUGGUAGCAGCCUGGGUUUUCAUGAGAUACCGGCAACAACUUUGAAAAACUUGCUCUCUUUCAGUACUCCCAAUGAAGAUACAUUUCACUCACCCUCCAUCCCUGCUAUUCUGCCGUGUCUUUCACUCUCUGCAUAGCCAGAUUUGAAGUGACUGAUACCCACCCCAAACCUUGCUGUUCAGAAUCUCCAAUUCUUCGUAUUCUAAUGGGAAAGUAAAGGUAUUGUUUGAAGGAAAACUGAAGAAAAGACUUGCUUAGAACAAAUGAGUUAUAUAUUUUACUAGGACUUUUGAUAGAAAUUCAGCUACAACCCAAAGAGAGAAAGAUUGAGUCUUCAUGUCACCAUAGGCAAUAUCAUUUUUCUUAGCUGGCAUGCCAUAAAGACCAGCUGUGUGACAUUAGAGGAAGAAAGGAUUUUUCUUUUUAAUGAUCUUCCUUGGGAAAUUAUUGUGGCCUUUAUUUAAUUUCUAAUUACAUACCUGGGUGCCUAUAUGAGACAAAGGAGAGUGAGAAGAGCAUUUUUACCUUUUUAAAAAAGCAAAUACAUAUAUACACAUACAUAUGUAAAUAUUAUAGUAUAAUAGUGAUACCUAUGGAGAAUUAAAGGUGAGAAAGCUAAAAAAAAAAAUUCAAGUUAAUUUUAGUUUUAAUUCAAGUUGUAAUUGAUGCAAUGUAUGAUAAUGCAAUGGUCUUAAUUUUUUUUUCUUGUAUAGGUUAUGUUCAUUUUUGAAGAGUCUUCUUUAAAAAAAAGUGACUACAAUGGUUUUGAAUUUUAUUUUACAUCCUUUGACUUUUAUUCACCUUUGCCUAUGCUGAAAUUAAAAAUGAAAAACUAGUGUGGUCAUAUUUGUUACAACCUUUCUAAUAAAAUAAUUGUGUGUAAAAAUAGAUUAAUGAUUCCAACAUUAUUGGAGAAAAGGC
This is an RNA transcript of Cercocebus atys (sooty mangabey), 2431 nucleotides long. It is a transcript of the gene named synaptojanin-2-binding protein pseudogene, with no coding region annotated. Lineage: Eukaryota; Metazoa; Chordata; Mammalia; Primates; Cercopithecidae. The record is from RefSeq and is a predicted model, not a curated record. The transcript has a single exon.